This 640-nucleotide ribosomal RNA is filed under the name uncultured fungus. RNAcentral describes it as "eukaryotic LSU rRNA". The stretch from base 243 to 396 matches the Rfam family "5.8S ribosomal RNA". The record is from RNAcentral. Lineage: Eukaryota; Fungi.
AGUAAAAGUCGUAACAAGGUCUCCGUUGGUGAACCAGCGGAGGGAUCAUUACAGAGUUGCAAAACUCCCACAAACCAUCGCGAAUCUUACCCGUACGGUUGCCUCGGCGCUGGCGGUCCGGAAAGGCCUUCGGGCCCUCCCGGAUCCUUGGGUCUCCUGCUCGCGGGAGGCUGCCCGCCGGAGUGCCGAAACUAAACUCUUGAUAUUUUAUGUCUCUCUGAGUAAACUUUUAAAUAAGUCAAAACUUUCAACAACGGAUCUCUUGGUUCUGGCAUCGAUGAAGAACGCAGCGAAAUGCGAUAAGUAAUGUGAAUUGCAGAAUUCAGUGAAUCAUCGAAUCUUUGAACGCACAUUGCGCUCGCCAGUAUUCUGGCGAGCAUGCCUGUUCGAGCGUCAUUUCAACCAUCAAGCUCUGCUUGCGUUGGGGAUCCGCGGCUGCCCGCGGUCCCUCAAAAACAGUGGCGGGCUCGCUAGUCACACCGAGCGUAGUAAUUCUACAUCGCUAUGGUCGUGCGGCGGGUUCUUGCCGUAAAACCCCCCCAUUUCUAAGGUUGACCUCGGAUCAGGUAGGAAUACCCGCUGAACUUAAGCAUAUCAAUAAGCGGAGGAAAAGAAACCAACAGGGAUUGCCUUAGUAACG